AUAGCACACAGGCCAAAUACUCAAGAAUCUUUCAUGCUAGCAAGCCAAGCAACUCAAGUUUAUAAUGUUGGAUCAUCUAAAAAUCCUACUUGGAGCUCUGAGGUUGAAACCAAGCCUAGAAAUCUUUUCGAGAUGCCCAUGAAAGAGGAGGAAUCAUACCAAGAAGAAGAGAUUUAGAUACACAAUGCACAAGUUGUCCAAGCUGGUGAUGGAGAUGAUGAGC
This 223-nucleotide long non-coding RNA is filed under the name Elaeis guineensis (African oil palm). RNAcentral's name for it is "long non-coding RNA (EGUI_LNC042538)". The record is from RNAcentral. Lineage: Eukaryota; Viridiplantae; Streptophyta; Magnoliopsida; Arecales; Arecaceae.